GGACAGGUGUCCGAGUGGCUGAAGGAGCCGGUCUCGAAAACCGGUGUACCGGCAACGGUACCGUGGGUUCGAAUCCCACCCUGUCCG
This 87-nucleotide transfer RNA is filed under the name Gemmatimonadetes bacterium SCN 70-22. Its description in RNAcentral is "tRNA-Ser". It matches the Rfam family "tRNA". From Rfam's summary of the family: Transfer RNA (tRNA) molecules are approximately 80 nucleotides in length. Their secondary structure includes four short double-helical elements and three loops (D, anti-codon, and T loops). RNAcentral also lists the same sequence under 3 other names. Lineage: Bacteria; Pseudomonadati; Gemmatimonadota. The record is from RNAcentral.